UACGUAGGGGACGAGCGUUGUCCGGAUUUAUUGGGCGUAAAGAGCGUGUAGGCGGCCAGGUAGGUCCGUUGUGAAAACUCGAGGCUCAACCUCGAGACGUCGAUGGAAACCAUCUGGCUAGAGUCCGGAAGAGGAGAAUGGAAUUCCCGGUGUAGCGGUGAAAUGCGCAGAUAUCAGGAGGAACACCAAUGGCGAAGGCAGCUCGCUGGAACGGUACUGACGCUGAGGCGCGAAAGCGUGGGGAGCGAACAGG
RNAcentral lists this ribosomal RNA (253 nucleotides) under uncultured bacterium. RNAcentral describes it as "partial 16S ribosomal RNA". It matches the Rfam family "Bacterial small subunit ribosomal RNA", at positions 524 to 776 of the family's 1533-position model. The record is from RNAcentral.